RNAcentral lists this ribosomal RNA (468 nucleotides) under uncultured bacterium. Its description in RNAcentral is "partial 16S ribosomal RNA". It matches the Rfam family "Bacterial small subunit ribosomal RNA", at positions 28 to 507 of the family's 1533-position model. The record is from RNAcentral.
GGCGAACGCUGGCGGCGUGCUUAACACAUGCAAGUCGAACGGAAAGGCCCUGCUUUUGUGGGGUGCUCGAGUGGCGAACGGGUGAGUAACACGUGAGUAACCUGCCCUUGACUUUGGGAUAACUUCAGGAAACUGGGGCUAAUACCGGAUAGGAGCUCCUGCUGCAUGGUGGGGGUUGGAAAGUCUCGGCGGUUGGGGAUGGACUCGCGGCUUAUCAGCUUGUUGGUGGGGUAGUGGCUUACCAAGGCUUUGACGGGUAGCCGGCCUGAGAGGGUGACCGGCCACAUUGGGACUGAGAUACGGCCCAGACUCCUACGGGAGGCAGCAGUGGGGAAUAUUGCACAAUGGGCGGAAGCCUGAUGCAGCAACGCCGCGUGCGGGAUGACGGCCUUCGGGUUGUAAACCGCUUUCGCCUGUGACGAAGCGUGAGUGACGGUAAUGGGUAAAGAAGCACCUGCUAACUACGUG